Anguilla anguilla (European eel) is the source of this 1177-nucleotide long non-coding RNA. RefSeq lists it as uncharacterized. NCBI's taxonomy places the organism in Eukaryota, Metazoa, Chordata, Actinopteri, Anguilliformes, Anguillidae. The record is from RefSeq and is a predicted model, not a curated record. The transcript is spliced from 2 exons.
AAGGACUUAGCCUACAUCAUCCUGUUCAAGACGGAGGAGAACGUCCGUAGUGUGUGAGAAUUUACUUUCUGCCUCAGUUAUAAACCGUGGCGAAAUUCCAGCCUAUACCCAGAAGUAGCAUGAUAUUUUGGUACGUUUCCCGAUAAAGGAUAACGAUUUCAGGAGCACGAUUUUUCCCUUUGACUGUAUGGGGCAGCCUACCUCAGGAACAAGAGACUUCAAAGACAUUUUCCACCCGCAAAGCAGACUACCAGCAGCAGAAAGCGGGAAACUGCUUUUUGGUGCUAAUCUAAAUGAGCUGGAACAGUUUGACACCGCCUAGCUCAGGUAACAGGUGGGUGCGCGGAUUGUUUGGAAAAAGAAGCCUGUGUCGCUAUAACGUUUUUCCUCACUGUGGCGUGCCCGCUAACAAGUAUCAAGAGGUGAACCGGAAGACUGCGGCAUCAAAAACGAAUAUCAUGGAAGUUGAAGUAUUUCGACGGAGUUCAUGACCCGCUGUAUGGAGAAAACCACGCCGGGCUCUGUUGGAAGGACGAACCGGUGAUCCACGCACAGGGGUGCUGACGGAGGACCCGGCGAUCUGCAGGAGAAGGGCUCUGGGUGAAUGCGCUCGGUUCCAGGAGCGGGCGGCCUCGUCGGCGGCCCCCAUAGGCUGAGCGGGUGCCGUGGAGCUCAGGCCCGAGCUCCUGUGGAGACUGGGAGACCCCCGCUGCCUGGAGCAUGUCAUGACAGCCUGGCCCCUUCACGGCCCUGCCCGCUGCUUCUCUGCCUAUAUAGCAUUAGCCAUUGCUGAGAGUGCUAUUCUCUUCUAUAGGAACUGGCAGAUUUAGACAAGCUCGGUCUUCUAACACCGUGCACAUCCCCAAGUCAUAUUUCUGGUUCUUAAUGAUGGGUUUCCUUUUUUUUGAAUUGUGUGUUCUCGUGUCUUUAUGUGAAUACCGCUUUUGCAUUUCAUGUUUUGCUCCCAGUCAUAGUUAAGUCCUCAAGAUUUAUGGCACUAUAUGUUAUACAGGGAGUCCAGGCCUGCGUGCAGUGUGCAUUAAACCAUUAUAGGGAUGAUAAUGAAAAAUAAGAUAUUCUAGUGGGGGUCAUUUGUAAAUGUAAAUGCAUAUUUCUGUUCUUGCUUACACAGUGCACAAUCCUUCUUUUGAAACCUGUAUAAAGAUGCUCGGUUAAA